UAUUGCACAAUGGGGGAAACCCUGAUGCAGCAACGCCGCGUGAGUGAUGAAGUCUUUCGAGUCGUAAAGCUCUGUCCUAAGGGAAGAUAAUGACGGUACCUUAGGAGGAAGCCCCGGCUAACUACGUGCCAGCAGCCGCGGUAAUACGUAGGGGGCAAGCGUUAUCCGGAAUCAUUGGGCGUAAAGGGUGCGUAGGCGGCCCUAUAGGUCAGAGGUCAAAGGCUACGGCUCAACCGUAGUAAGCCUUUGAAACUGUAGGGCUUGAGUGCAGGAGAGGAGAGUGGAAUUCCUAGUGUAGCGGUGAAAUGCGUAGAUAUUAGGAGGAACACCAGUGGCGAAGGCGACUCUCUGGACUGCAACUGACGCUGAGGCACGAAAGCGUGGGGAGCAAACAGG
Molecule: ribosomal RNA, 396 nt
Filed under: uncultured bacterium
Lineage: Bacteria
Description: bacterial SSU rRNA
Rfam family: Bacterial small subunit ribosomal RNA
Source: RNAcentral